Chelydra serpentina (North American snapping turtle) is the source of this 94-nucleotide microRNA precursor. NCBI's taxonomy places the organism in Eukaryota, Metazoa, Chordata, Testudines, Chelydridae. The record is from Ensembl.
UGUACCCCUUUCUACACAGGUUGGGAUCAGUUGCAAUGCUGUGUGUGCCUGUAGUAUUGCACUUGUCCCGGCCUGUUGAGGUUGGUGGGGACAG